Molecule: ribosomal RNA, 505 nt
Filed under: Bacillus sp. BS15
Lineage: Bacteria; Bacillati; Bacillota; Bacilli; Caryophanales; Bacillaceae
Description: bacterial SSU rRNA
Rfam family: Bacterial small subunit ribosomal RNA
Source: RNAcentral
CUGAGUGCGGCGUGCUAUACAUGCAAGUCGAGCGGACAGAAGGGAGCUUGCUCCCGGAUGUUAGCGGCGGACGGGUGAGUAACACGUGGGUAACCUGCCUGUAAGACUGGGAUAACUCCGGGAAACCGGAGCUAAUACCGGAUAGUUCCUUGAACCGCAUGGUUCAAGGAUGAAAAGACGGUUUCGGCUGUCACUUACAGAUGGACCCGCGGCGCAUUAGCUAGUUGGUGAGGUAACGGCUCACCAAGGCGACGAUGCGUAGCCGACCUGAGAGGGUGAUCGGCCACACUGGGACUGAGACACGGCCCAGACUCCUACGGGAGGCAGCAGUAGGGAAUCUUCCGCAAUGGACGAAAGUCUGACGGAGCAACGCCGCGUGAGUGAUGAAGGUUUUCGGAUCGUAAAGCUCUGUUGUUAGGGAAGAACAAGUGCAAGAGUAACUGCUUGCACCUUGACGGUACCUAACCAGAAAGCCACGGCUAACUACAUGCCAACAGCCGCGGUA